CUCAGAUGGAAAUGCAGAAAUCACCCGUCUUCUGCGUCGCUCACGCUGGGAGCUGUAGACCGGAGCUGUUCCUAUUCGGCCAUCUUGGCUCCUCCGAAUGUGAUUUUGAAGAAAGGAGGAAAGAUGUGAAAAGUGAUUGGUCAGCCACAUUCAUGGUGUUGAGAAAAGAAUUUGCUUUUCUGGAACAUAGCCUGUGAUAGCAGAACAACACCUGGCAAGAAACAGGUUAUGUUUGGCUGGAGAGUCAUUGGCACUAUCAAGAAAUAUUAAAGUGUAGAUUUGAGAGAGGAGGAGAAAGACCCAAGCAAAAUUGAAAACCAGGUGGGACCCAGACAGCAGCAAAGCAAUGGAAGCAUGUAUUUUGGUCAAUAUAGAGUUAAUACACAAUUUUGCCCCUCUUCUUCUGAUCAUGGGACUCAUAUUACCAGUCUUCACAUUUCCUUUAAAUUCAGGAAUCAGGAAGAAUUUCCAGAGUUUGCAGAUGGACACAUUUGCUGCUUCCAUUCUAAACAUAAGUUAGAAGAACCUUUCAACUGGAUUCCAACUUUAAUAUGUCA
RNAcentral lists this long non-coding RNA (557 nucleotides) under Homo sapiens (human). RNAcentral describes it as "non-protein coding CASC9:4". Lineage: Eukaryota; Metazoa; Chordata; Mammalia; Primates; Hominidae. The record is from RNAcentral.